Molecule: long non-coding RNA, 1103 nt
Organism: Gallus gallus (chicken)
Lineage: Eukaryota; Metazoa; Chordata; Aves; Galliformes; Phasianidae
Source: Ensembl
AGCGCAGCACGAGGAAAAGGAAUGCACGGUGGUGCAGAACGAGCGCAGAAGGAUGGGGAGCAGCAGCGGUGGGAUCCCCCUUUGGCACGGCUACCCACCGCUACGGGACUGCAACAAGGAGCUGCACCCUGCCGUGGUCAGCAUGGCUCUGUGUGCCAGCUGUGUGCUGCUGGAAAGCACCCGAGCGGUUACGGGUGGGAGAGUGGCAGAGGAAAUCAUCCGAACAUCUGCAGGGAUAGCACAAGGCAGGCUCAGUGUGACGGCUGUGUCAUCGUGCAGCAGACAGAUGCUGAGCAGAGCACAGCAGGGCCAGGACGUUCUGACCAGGGGGAGGUGGAGAGUGCACAUGAGAUAAGGCACAGCUGCAGGACAGAGCAUGAGACCCAGCACGUGCAACAGCUGCAAGAAAUCCUGCCUGCCUGUCUGCAUAGAAAAGCACACAAUCAGCCCGAAAGGAACACGUUGGCCAUAGACCUCCUCUGGAAAAACUGCACAGCGGAUGCGUGGUGGAGACUGUGAGCCUGCAGUGCCCAGCCAAGGGGGAACAGGAGAGCAGUGGGUUCCAUGGGAGGAGAGCUACAGGAGCAGAAGGAGCUCACAGAGGAGAGUGCAGUAACGCCAUAGUAAUAAGGAAUGAGUAAUAAGGAAUGAGCAUUGCUGCUGCACUGAGAGCUGUGCUUGGUGGAACAUGAGGGAUACGAGUGUUUCUCGCACACCCCAGAGGCACCGGGGGAGAUGUGCUGAGAUGUAAGGAAGCCUCAUGGGGUUGUGGGGCAGAUAAAGGACGCCUAUGGGAGGGCUUCAGGAGAACUUUGAGGCAGCCUUGCAGCAGAGCCACACCUGGGAUCUGCCUUUACCCAACACACUGCUGCUGGCCAUGGGCUGCGGGCAGUGAUGGGGCUUCUCUGGGGCUGCUCUAGGAUGGCUCUGGGGCUGCUAUGGGCAGCUAUGGGAUACACUCAUGGAGCAUCUUCCAUAGCCCCCAGCUAACCCCUCGACCUCCAUCUUGUCCCGCAAGAUGAGGGCAAGAUGAGUGUCAGGGGAAUAUUCAGGCUGCUGACCUACAGUGGCCCCAGAACCACCUUAUAGUACCCCCUGAACAA